Molecule: ribosomal RNA, 253 nt
Filed under: uncultured bacterium
Lineage: Bacteria
Description: partial 16S ribosomal RNA
Rfam family: Bacterial small subunit ribosomal RNA
Source: RNAcentral
UACGAAGGGGGCUAGCGUUGUUCGGAAUCACUGGGCGUAAAGCGCACGUAGGCGGCUUUCUAAGUCGGGGGUGAAAUCCUGGAGCUCAACUCCAGAACUGCCUUUGAUACUGGAGAGCUUGAGUCCGGAAGAGGUGAGUGGAACUCCGAGUGUAGAGGUGAAAUUCGUAGAUAUUCGGAAGAACACCAGUGGCGAAGGCGGCUCACUGGUCCGGUACUGACGCUGAGGCGCGAAAGCGUGGGGAGCAAACAGG